UACGGAGGAUCCAAGCGUUAUCCGGAAUUACUGGGCGUAAAGGGUCCGCAGGCGGCCUAAUUAGUCUGGCGUUAAAUCACGAGGCUUAACCUCGUGGCCGCGUCAGAAACGGUUAGGCUUGAGGAUGUGAGAGGUGAGUGGAACCGACGGUGUAGGGGUGAAAUCCGUUGAUAUCGUCGGGAACACCAAAUGCGAAGGCAACUCACUGGCACAUUCCUGACGCUCAUGGACGACAGCUAAGGUAGCGAACGGG
RNAcentral lists this unclassified non-coding RNA (253 nucleotides) under uncultured Parcubacteria group bacterium. RNAcentral's name for it is "contains 16S-23S intergenic spacer region". It matches the Rfam family "Bacterial small subunit ribosomal RNA", at positions 524 to 776 of the family's 1533-position model. The record is from RNAcentral.